AUUGAACGCUGGCGGCAGGCCUAACACAUGCAAGUCGAGCGGAUGAAGGGAGCUUGCUCCUGGAUUCAGCGGCGGACGGGUGAGUAAUGCCUAGGAAUCUGCCUGGUAGUGGGGGAUAACGUCCGGAAACGGGCGCUAAUACCGCAUACGUCCUGAGGGAGAAAGUGGGGGAUCUUCGGACCUCACGCUAUCAGAUGAGCCUAGGUCGGAUUAGCUAGUUGGUGGGGUAAAGGCCUACCAAGGCGACGAUCCGUAACUGGUCUGAGAGGAUGAUCAGUCACACUGGAACUGAGACACGGUCCAGACUCCUACGGGAGGCAGCAGUGGGGAAUAUUGGACAAUGGGCGAAAACCUGAUCCAGCCAUGCCGCGUGUGUGAAGAAGGUCUUCGGAUUGUAAAGCACUUUAAGUUGGGGGGAAGGGCAGUAAGUUAAUACCUUGCUGUUUUGACGUUACCAACAGAAUAAGCACCGGCUAACUUCGUG
RNAcentral lists this ribosomal RNA (484 nucleotides) under uncultured bacterium. Its description in RNAcentral is "partial 16S ribosomal RNA". It matches the Rfam family "Bacterial small subunit ribosomal RNA", at positions 30 to 507 of the family's 1533-position model. The record is from RNAcentral.